UUCUUUUACUUUGCAUCUGCUACUACUAAUUAAACCCAGCCUGUUACAUUACAUGGGAAAACACUAUCUAACUAGAAAGUCCACUAUAUAAAGAAGAUAUAGACAUUGUUCCCAUAGUAGGUUUAAUUUUUUUUUUUUUUUUGGUUAAGGUAAUUCAUUUCAUUAAAAUGAAAGAGAUUACACACUUAGAAAAUGUAAAAAUAAAAACCAGCCCAGCACUGAUAGGUACGAGGCCUCAGCCCAAUAGAAACAAAAAAAGAAGCCACAUAAAUGAAAAAUCCUAAAACAAACAUCUAGCCCAAUACAAACACAAAGGAAGAACCUUAAAUCGGAGAAGCUACAGACGCUACUUCCCCCUUGCCACGCCACUGUUGCAGAUCCACAACAGCCAAAGACGGGUAACUAGUAACUAGACAAACCAUUGCUUAGAACGGAGAAUGGUGGUGGUACAACCUACCCACGCAAAAAGCGCCACUAUAAUUCCAGAAGCAAGUGCAAAGAGCACUUUUGAAACAUCCUCAUCCAUGGAGCCGAAGAGCAGUGGCUGGUGGUUGAGAUCUCGGAUCGGGACAUAGCCAAAGGGAAUGUGUGGAGGACACCAUAACAGAGAAGGGGCAAGGGAUGUAGAUGUGAGGAGUGUAGGUUGAAGAACAACAUUUAUGGGUGGGGAGAGAGUAGAGUGGAAGUGCAGAUAUGGGUUUUCCAAAUUUGGGCAUAAUUUUGGUAAAUUUAAGGUGAGGGUGAAGAGAAAAAAAGUAGAGAAAGUCAAUCAUAGGGAAAAGGGGAAGAGGAGAACUUGAGGGAGAUGUAAUGGAUAGAUGAAGGCGUUUGGAGACACAAAGACUUGUGUCAGAGAUGAGGGAGAUCAUAGGGAUGAGAAUGAGUGAGAGAGGAGAUUCAGAGAGAUAAAGAGUAACAACAAACAAACUAAAAGUAACAUAAACUCUCACAGAGGAGAGGAAGAAUUCUCACAUAGGAGAGAGAAGACUCUCACAAAGGAGAGAGAGAGAGAGAGAGAGAG
This 1021-nucleotide long non-coding RNA is filed under the name Prunus persica (peach). Its description in RNAcentral is "long non-coding RNA (PPER_LNC002718)". The record is from RNAcentral. Lineage: Eukaryota; Viridiplantae; Streptophyta; Magnoliopsida; Rosales; Rosaceae.